This 1108-nucleotide ribosomal RNA is filed under the name Escherichia coli. Its description in RNAcentral is "partial 23S ribosomal RNA". It matches the Rfam family "Bacterial large subunit ribosomal RNA", at positions 45 to 1194 of the family's 2925-position model. Lineage: Bacteria; Pseudomonadati; Pseudomonadota; Gammaproteobacteria; Enterobacterales; Enterobacteriaceae. The record is from RNAcentral.
GGCGAUGAAGGACGUGCUAAUCUGCGAUAAGCGUCGGUAAGGUGAUAUGAACCGUUAUAACCGGCGAUUUCCGAAUGGGGAAACCCAGUGUGAUUCGUCACACUAUCAUUAACUGAAUCCAUAGGUUAAUGAGGCGAACCGGGGGAACUGAAACAUCUAAGUACCCCGAGGAAAAGAAAUCAACCGAGAUUCCCCCAGUAGCGGCGAGCGAACGGGGAGCAGCCCAGAGCCUGAAUCAGUGUGUGUGUUAGUGGAAGCGUCUGGAAAGGCGCGCGAUACAGGGUGACAGCCCCGUACACAAAAAUGCACAUGCUGUGAGCUCGAUGAGUAGGGCGGGACACGUGGUAUCCUGUCUGAAUAUGGGGGGACCAUCCUCCAAGGCUAAAUACUCCUGACUGACCGAUAGUGAACCAGUACCGUGAGGGAAAGGCGAAAAGAACCCCGGCGAGGGGAGUGAAAAAGAACCUGAAACCGUGUACGUACAAGCAGUGGGAGCACGCUUAGGCGUGUGACUGCGUACCUUUUGUAUAAUGGGUCAGCGACUUAUAUUCUGUAGCAAGGUUAACCGAAUAGGGGAGCCGAAGGGAAACCGAGUCUUAACUGGGCGUUAAGUUGCAGGGUAUAGACCCGAAACCCGGUGAUCUAGCCAUGGGCAGGUUGAAGGUUGGGUAACACUAACUGGAGGACCGAACCGACUAAUGUUGAAAAAUUAGCGGAUGACUUGUGGCUGGGGGUGAAAGGCCAAUCAAACCGGGAGAUAGCUGGUUCUCCCCGAAAGCUAUUUAGGUAGCGCCUCGUGAAUUCAUCUCCGGGGGUAGAGCACUGUUUCGGCAAGGGGGUCAUCCCGACUUACCAACCCGAUGCAAACUGCGAAUACCGGAGAAUGUUAUCACGGGAGACACACGGCGGGUGCUAACGUCCGUCGUGAAGAGGGAAACAACCCAGACCGCCAGCUAAGGUCCCAAAGUCAUGGUUAAGUGGGAAACGAUGUGGGAAGGCCCAGACAGCCAGGAUGUUGGCUUAGAAGCAGCCAUCAUUUAAAGAAAGCGUAAUAGCUCACUGGUCGAGUCGGCCUGCGCGGAAGAUGUAACGGGGCUAAACCAUGCAC